RNAcentral lists this ribosomal RNA (376 nucleotides) under uncultured organism. RNAcentral's name for it is "partial 16S ribosomal RNA". It matches the Rfam family "Bacterial small subunit ribosomal RNA", at positions 527 to 896 of the family's 1533-position model. The record is from RNAcentral.
GUAGGGUGCGAGCGUUAUCCGGAAUUAUUGGGCGUAAAGAGCUCGUAGGCGGUUUGUCGCGUCUGUCGUGAAAGUCCGGGGGGCUUAACCCCGGGAUCUGCGGUGGGUACGGGCAGACUAGAGUGCAGUAGGGGAGACUGGAAUUCCUGGUGUAGCGGUGGAAUGCGCAGAUAUCAGGAGGAACACCGAUGGCGAAGGCAGGUCUCUGGGCUGUAACUGACGCUGAGGAGCGAAAGCAUGGGGAGCGAACAGGAUUAGAUACCCUGGUAGUCCAUGCCGUAAACGUUGGGCACUAGGUGUGGGGACCAUUCCACGGUUUCCGCGCCGCAGCUAACGCAUUAAGUGCCCCGCCUGGGGAGUACGGCCGCAAAGGCUA